UGGGGAAUUUUGGACAAUGGGCGAAAGCCUGAUCCAGCAAUGCCGCGUGUGUGAAGAAGGCCUUCGGGUUGUAAAGCACUUUUGUCCGGAAAGAAAUCCUUGGCUCUAAUACAGUCGGGGGAUGACGGUACCGGAAGAAUAAGCACCGGCUAACUACGUGCCAGCAGCCGCGGUAAUACGUAGGGUGCAAGCGUUAAUCGGAAUUACUGGGCGUAAAGCGUGCGCAGGCGGUUUGCUAAGACCGAUGUGAAAUCCCCGGGCUCAACCUGGGAACUGCAUUGGUGACUGGCAGGCUAGAGUAUGGCAGAGGGGGGUAGAAUUCCACGUGUAGCAGUGAAAUGCGUAGAGAUGUGGAGGAAUACCGAUGGCGAAGGCAGCCCCCUGGGCCAAUACUGACGCUCAUGCACGAAAGCGUGGGGAGCAAACAGGAUUAGAUACCCUGGUAGUCCACGCCCUAAACGAUGUCAACUAGUUGUGGGGAUUCAUUCCUUAGUAACGUAGCUAACGCGUGAAGUUGACCGCCUGGGGAGUACGGUCGCAAGAUUAAAACUUAAAUGAAUUGACGGGG
Molecule: ribosomal RNA, 568 nt
Filed under: uncultured bacterium
Lineage: Bacteria
Description: partial 16S ribosomal RNA
Rfam family: Bacterial small subunit ribosomal RNA
Source: RNAcentral